GAGACCUGCUGGGCUGCAUUCCCAGGAGGUUAGGCAUUCUAAGUCACAGGAUAAGAUAAGAGGUGGGCACAAGAUACAGGUCAUAAAGAUCUUGCUGAUAAAACAGGUCGCAGUAAAGAAACUGGGCAAAACCCACCCAUACCAAGAUGGCGAUGAGAGUGCCCUCUGGUUAUCCUCACUGCUCAUUUUACGCUAAUUAUAAUGCAUUAGCAUGCUAAAAGACACUCCUACCAGGGACAUGACAGUUUAUAGAUGCCAUGGCAAUGUCAGGAAUUUACCCUAUAUUGUCUAAAAAGGGGAGGAACCCUCAGUUCUGGGAAUUGCCCACCCCUUUCCCGGAAAACUCAUGAAUAAUCCAUCCCUUGUUUAGCAUAAAAUCAAGAAGCAACAAUAAGUAUAAGGAGCUGAGCAGCCCUUGCAGCAGCGCUGCCUAUGGAGUAGCCAUUCUUUAUUUCUUGACUUUAAUAAACUUGCUUUCACUUUACUCUAUGGACUUGCAUCAAAUUCUUUCUUGUGAGAGAUCCAAGAACACACUCUUGGGGUCUGGAUCAGGACCCCUUUCUGGUAACACCACCGCCAGCUUUCUGCAGAUGGCAGAUUGUGGGACUUACUUUUUAACCUUCAUAACUGCAUGGCCAAUUUAUCAUAUUAAAUCUUAUUUUCAUUAUAUAUAUCUGCAUCCUACUGUUUCUCUGAAGAACCCUAAUACAUUUCCAUCUCUUUGCAGCUAGAAUCAGCCAAAAACAUAUAAGGAGACUCCACCAGGAGUGGGGAGUUCUUGAGAAAGCUUUUGCUUCUGAAAAAAGAUAAAAGUACACAGGAGAGCUGUCUGGUGCCAUUCCCUGAGCAUGUGAGAGACUGUGUCACUGGGAGCAGCAGUUAUCUCUGGCCAUAAGUUGAGAUGACUGGGUGAAACGCUAAAAUGUUGAGAAGGGACUGCGUUAAUGAUUCCCAACCAUCAGCAUUGAAGAAGAGGUCUGGAAAAAUGUGAAGAGUGCUAAGGCUUGUGUGGAGAAUAGAGGGGAGCAUGAAGAUAAUCCACAGCCUGCAGGCAGGGACUUCAUGGACACUCUGCAUGCUGCAGCAGCCACAGAAUUCAGCCACAGGUGCCAGCUGGACAAUACAUAGGAGUGAAUGAGACAGAAAGCGAGACCAUGAGGAUGAUUAAGAAGAGCAAGUACAACAUGGCUGAGACUAAGUGUCCAGGGAGUUGAGAAUAAGUGGCCUAUUGUCAUGUCCUAUAUAAGUAGAGUAUGUGGAUGGGAGGCCAAGAACACACCAACAAAUAAAAUGUUGAAUACAUCAGUCAAGGGCCUAUCAAGAUGAUCAGGAUGCUGGCUAUUGGAAUGUUUAUCCUCCCACCCCACCCCAGAAGAGGACCUUCUUGGCUUGUUCACCGCUGUUUCCCAGCCUGGCACACAGCAGGUGCACAAUGAAUAUUCAUUAAAAUCAAUGAUUAACUAAACUGGCUAGUAUUCCAUCUCACUUUCAUUACUGGAGAACUGAAGAGCCAGCUAGCCUACAAAAACUCAUUCUGGAUUUAGAAGCAAUAAGAAAACAUGCAUUCAAAUAAAAUCAGAGAAUCCUUCUAAUGUUUCUUCAUGUGUCUAUCUUUUCCCAUCCCCAACACCAUUUAUUUAUUUUUCUUGACCUGCAAAGGAUCUGUUUUGUCCAUGAUGAGUCCCAAAAAUAGCCCCCAAAGUGGUUCUCCUCACCUACCCCACCCCACCGAUGCUGCAUCACAUGGUAGGGUGUUACCUUGCUCCUCCAUGCAGGGAGCUUUUCUCAGCACCACUAAGGUACCAGGGAAGUGGUAACUGGGAACAAUUUUUCCCAAUAUAGAUAAAGCCUGGAUUAAAAAGUACGGUGAUACAUAGGCAAGGGGUAGAUGGGGCCUUCCUAGAGGACACGAUGUCUUCCUGAAUUUAAUCCAUUAAUAAUCAACAAACCAGCCCUACUGAUUUAAUGCCUAGGCUUUGCUGCCUGACUAUAUUUAACAAAGCUUUCGAAUGGCAGGGUGAUUUCCUACAGGAAUACUGAGUUUUUUCCAGGGACAGAUGUAGCCUUGGUACAUUGUCUGGUUAUGUAGAAUUUUUUUUUUUAACUGCACUUGUGCUGUUCUCCUUUUUUCAGCUCGUAGCUGGAGACCCUUUGCUGCUACCUCAAAACCUUUUUGAAAU
Molecule: non-coding RNA, 2180 nt
Organism: Chlorocebus sabaeus (green monkey)
Lineage: Eukaryota; Metazoa; Chordata; Mammalia; Primates; Cercopithecidae
Source: RefSeq, a predicted model, not a curated record